RNAcentral lists this unclassified non-coding RNA (391 nucleotides) under soil metagenome. Its description in RNAcentral is "partial contains 5.8S ribosomal RNA, internal transcribed spacer 2, and large subunit ribosomal RNA". The stretch from base 1 to 122 matches the Rfam family "5.8S ribosomal RNA", at positions 35 to 154 of the family's 154-position model. The record is from RNAcentral.
GAUGAAGAACGUAGCGAAAUGCGAUACUUGGUGUGAAUUGCAGAAUCCCGUGAACCAUCGAGUCUUUGAACGCAAGUUGCGCCCGAAGCCAUUAGGCCGAGGGCACGCCUGCCUGGGCGUCACACGUCGUUGCCCCCCCAUCUACUCCUUCGGGAUUGCGGGGGGCGGAUGAUGGCCUCCCGUGCGCCUCGUCGCGCGGUUGGCCUAAAUGCCAAGUCCUCGGCGACGCUCGCCACGACAAUCGGUGGUUGCGAAACCUCGGUUGCCUGUCGUGUGCGGUCGUCGCGCAUCGAGGGCUCGAAAAAAUUGCCGGGCUUCGGCUCGACUUUCAACGCGACCCCAGGUCAGGCGGGGUUACCCGCUGAAUUUAAGCAUAUCAAUAAGCGGAGGA